Long non-coding RNA from Cervus elaphus (red deer), 1401 nucleotides. RefSeq lists it as uncharacterized. The transcript has 2 exons. The record is from RefSeq and is a predicted model, not a curated record. Lineage: Eukaryota; Metazoa; Chordata; Mammalia; Artiodactyla; Cervidae.
CCAUCUUCGGUGACUACUUCCAAUUUGUGUUGAUUCGUGGACCUAACAUUCCAGGUUCCUAUGCAAUAUUACUGUUUACAGCAUCGGACUUCGCUUCUCUCACUAGUCAUAUCCACAACUGGGUUGUCGUUUUUGCUUUGGAAUGAAGAGACGGAAUUAAUGUGCACACUCUUAAAGAAACAGUGUUUCCACCUUCUUUUUCUACCAUCUGAGGAAAUGAAUCUCAAACAGCUUCAGGUUUCUGUUUUCAUAUGUUGUAUCAUUCAUUCAUUUUACAAGAAGCUUUGAACAUAUACAAUGCGCUGCACAUAACAGCAGAAAACAAACUGACCAAACACCCUGCCCUUAUAGAGCUUAUAGUGUAGGCAAGGUGAUGAACAAUUCAAAUGACAUGUGUGGUCUCUCAUAGUGGUUAGUGCUAUUGAGAAUAAUGUAGUAGGAGUUACAUAGAGAAAACUGAGAAGGAGGAAGCUUUAUUAAUUUUAACUAGAGAUAGAGGGGGACGUUCAGUGCUGUUACACUGGCCCUCUGAAAAAUGAAAGCCUUGCUUUGUGUUGUUUGCCAGUUUCUUUAGGAAAUGGAUUAUUUGCCAUAAUCAUCAAAACAAAACUGAGGGAGGUACUAUUGUAUGCCAUUUUGCAGAUAAAAAAGUGAGACAAAGGUGAAAUAGCUUUAGUUCAGUUCAGUCCAGUCGCUUAGUCGUUUCUGACUCUUUGAGACCACGUGGGCUGCAGCACGCCAGGCCUCCCUGUCCAUCACCAACUUAAAUAGCUUGCCACACAGCUAAUAGUGUGGUGAGCAUUUAAACCCGGGCAGUUUGUAUCCAAAGUAUUGGUUUUCAGCCACAGUGAUUUUGCUCCUAAAGACACAUUUAGUGAUGCUAGACAUAGUUUGGUUGUUUGGUUCUUACAACUAGGAUGUGGCGGGAGCAGGCCGCUACUGGCAUCUCAUGCGUAGAGGACAGGGAAGCUACUGCAACCUACAGUCUAGAGGCCACAGCCUCCUCACAACAAAGAAGAGCCAAGGUCAAAUAAAAGUUAGUGCUGAGCUUGAGAAACCUUGCCCUAGAAUCUGAGCUCUUAACCAUUGUGCAGUAGGCAGAGUAGCAGUACCUUUUUACUUUAUUUAAGGUUUGACAAGUCAGUUUCCAAUAAAUUUCUAAUCAUUUUAAUUUGGAAAAUUAAAUUGAAAGUAAUAGUUUUUAGAAAUACGUAUUUUCCUCCUGUCAUAAAAAUAAUGCAAAUUGACAAUUUCUUUUGAGUCUUUAGCAUGACCAGUGUUUGCAGGUAUGUUUUUUUUUUUUUUUUUUUUAACAGCCUUAUUGUGGUAUAAUUUAAAUAUCAUAAAGUUGACCCAUUUUUAGGAUGGGGACUCUUUACACUGUUGAUGGGAUUGUGAAUU